RNAcentral lists this ribosomal RNA (253 nucleotides) under uncultured bacterium. Its description in RNAcentral is "partial 16S ribosomal RNA". It matches the Rfam family "Bacterial small subunit ribosomal RNA", at positions 524 to 776 of the family's 1533-position model. The record is from RNAcentral.
UACGGAGGGGACUAGCGUUGUUCGGAAUUACUGGGCGUAAAGCGCACGUAGGCGGAUUUGUAAGUCAGGGGUGAAAUCCCGGGGCUCAACCUCGGAACUGCCUUUGAUACUGCAAAUCUCGAGUCCGGAAGAGGUGAGUGGAAUUCCUAGUGUAGAGGUGAAAUUCGUAGAUAUUAGGAAGAACACCAGGGGCGAAGGCGGCUCACUGGUCCGGUACUGACGCUGAGGUGCGAAAGCGUGGGGAGCAAACAGG